GAUAAGUAAUAAAAUAUGGGUUUGUACGAUUUGAAUUAUUUUAAAUUAUAGUAUUUAAUUAUUACAAAACAAACUUUAGCAAAUUAUAUGAACAAUAUAUAUAUAUAGACAGGCGGUGGAAACUGCCAAGCUGGAGUACGGUAGGGUAGAGGAAAUUUCCGGUGGAGCGGUGAAAUGCAUAGAGAGUGGAAAGAACACCAACGGCGAAAGCACUCUACUAGGUUGACACUGACACUGAGAGACGAAAGCUAGGGAAGCGAAUGGGAUUAGAUACCCCAGUAGUCCUAGCCGUAAACGAUAAAUACUAGGCGCUGUGCGUAUUGACCCGUGCAGUGUUGUAGCUAACGCGUUAAGUUUUUGUAA
RNAcentral lists this non-coding RNA (363 nucleotides) under Ricinus communis (castor bean). RNAcentral's name for it is "Bacterial small subunit ribosomal RNA". It matches the Rfam family "Bacterial small subunit ribosomal RNA", at positions 598 to 869 of the family's 1533-position model. Lineage: Eukaryota; Viridiplantae; Streptophyta; Magnoliopsida; Malpighiales; Euphorbiaceae. The record is from Rfam by way of RNAcentral.